This 319-nucleotide RNase P RNA is filed under the name Ramlibacter sp. RNAcentral describes it as "RNase P RNA component class A". It matches the Rfam family "Bacterial RNase P class A". From Rfam's summary of the family: Ribonuclease P (RNase P) is a ubiquitous endoribonuclease, found in archaea, bacteria and eukarya as well as chloroplasts and mitochondria. Its best characterised activity is the generation of mature 5'-ends of tRNAs by cleaving the 5'-leader elements of precursor-tRNAs. The record is from RNAcentral. Lineage: Bacteria; Pseudomonadati; Pseudomonadota; Betaproteobacteria; Burkholderiales; Comamonadaceae.
GAAGUCAGCCAGACCGCCGCUGGUGCAAUCGUGGAAACACGGCACUGGAGGAACGUCCGGACUGCACAGGGCAGCGUAGCAGGUAACACCUGUCCACCGUGAGGUGAGGAUCAGAGCAACAGAGACGAGCCGGUUCAGUCCGGGUGAAACGGGCAAUCUCUACGCGCAGCAAUACCAAGUAGGCCAGUGUUGAUGUGGCUCCGCAGAGCUGGCGGGUAGGUAGCAUCGAGCCGGGUGGGCGACCCCCGGCCCAGAGUAAUGGCGGUCACGCCACGGGCAACCGUGGUGCACAGAAUCCGGCUUACGGCUGGCUUCACAC